CCUCGCAGUUGGCCAUGACCGCGGCGUCCUUCAUCGGGAUCGCCUGCUGGUAGUAGAAGCGGUUGGCCACCCAGCCG
This 77-nucleotide transfer RNA is filed under the name Methylibium petroleiphilum PM1. RNAcentral's name for it is "tRNA-Met". The record is from RNAcentral. Lineage: Bacteria; Pseudomonadati; Pseudomonadota; Betaproteobacteria; Burkholderiales; Sphaerotilaceae.